RNAcentral lists this unclassified non-coding RNA (345 nucleotides) under soil metagenome. Its description in RNAcentral is "partial contains 5.8S ribosomal RNA, internal transcribed spacer 2, and large subunit ribosomal RNA". The stretch from base 1 to 120 matches the Rfam family "5.8S ribosomal RNA", at positions 35 to 154 of the family's 154-position model. The record is from RNAcentral.
GAUGAAGAACGCAGCGAAAUGCGAUACGUAAUGUGAAUUGCAGAAUUCAGUGAAUCAUCGAGUCUUUGAACGCACAUUGCGCCCCCUGGUAUUCCGGGGGGCAUGCCUGUCCGAGCGUCAUUGCUGCCCUCAAGCACGGCUUGUGUGUUGGGCCUCCGUCCUCCUCCCGGGGGACGGGCCCGAAAGGCAGCGGCGGCACCGCGUCCGGUCCUCGAGCGUAUGGGGCUUCGUCACCCGCUCUUGUAGGCCCGGCCGGCGCUUGCCGACACAUCAAUCUUUUUUCCAGGUUGACCUCGGAUCAGGUAGGGAUUCCCGCUGAACUUAAGCACAUCAAUAAGCGGAGGA